UUAGAGUUUGAUCAUGGCUCAGAUUGAACGCUGGCGGCAUGCCUAACACAUGCAAGUCGAACGGCAGCAUGAGGUGUAGCAAUACACCUUGAUGGCGAGUGGCGGACGGGUGAGGAAUGCAUCGGAAUCUGCCCAGUCGUGGGGGAUAACGUAGGGAAACUUACGCUAAUACCGCAUACGACCGUAAGGUGAAAGCGGGGGAUCGUAAGACCUCGCGCGAUUGGAUGAGCCGAUGCCGGAUUAGCUUGUUGGUGGGGUAAAGGCUCACCAAGCCUGCGAUCUGUAGCUGGUCUGAGAGGACGACCAGCCACACUGGGACUGAGACACGGCCCAGACUCCUACGGGAGGCAGCAGUGGGGAAUUUUGGACAAUGGGCGCAAGCCUGAUCCAGCCAUUCCGCGUGCAGGAUGAAGGCCCUCGGGUUGUAAACUGCUUUUGUACGGAACGAAACGGCGCUUUCUAAUACAGAGCGCUAAUGACGGUACCGUAAGAAUAAGCACCGGCUAACUACGUGGUCGGGCCCA
Molecule: ribosomal RNA, 524 nt
Filed under: uncultured bacterium
Lineage: Bacteria
Description: bacterial SSU rRNA
Rfam family: Bacterial small subunit ribosomal RNA
Source: RNAcentral